CUUAAUUCAUAUGGGAAUCAUUUUUUUUUAAAUUUUGGCUAAUCAUUUACCAACCAAUUUCAAAUUCCUCAUGUUUCAAAUCGACCCAGUGAACAACAACAACAAAAAAAAGAGCACAGUCAAAACAUAUCAAUAAAUCCGCAGCAAGGUAUCAACAGCGUCACUGAAACUUCUGUAACAACAUAAUAACAACUCAAGAACAAAACUGUCAACAAAUGGAGGACCAGAAACCCAACUAAAGAGAACAAUAAACCCAUUUUCACUCAAUGAGCCCUUAAUAAACAAGCCUCAAAAAGACAAUAACCUCAAUUUAACCUAACAUUAUAUAUCUGGGUUUAUCCCAGAGUUCACUGUAUAUAUAUAUAUAUAUAUAUAUAU
Biomphalaria pfeifferi is the source of this 378-nucleotide non-coding RNA. NCBI's taxonomy places the organism in Eukaryota, Metazoa, Mollusca, Gastropoda, Planorbidae. The record is from the annotation of a GenBank genome assembly.